This 68-nucleotide transfer RNA is filed under the name human gut metagenome. It matches the Rfam family "tRNA". Rfam says of the family: Transfer RNA (tRNA) molecules are approximately 80 nucleotides in length. The record is from RNAcentral.
GCCUAUAGCUCAAUCGGCAGAGCAGCGGACUUUUAAUCCGCGGGUUCUGGGUUCGAUUCCCAGUGGGC